Molecule: ribosomal RNA, 493 nt
Filed under: uncultured bacterium
Lineage: Bacteria
Description: partial 16S ribosomal RNA
Rfam family: Bacterial small subunit ribosomal RNA
Source: RNAcentral
AUUGAACGCUGGCGGCAUGCUUUACACAUGUAAGUCGAACGGUAACAGGUUAAGCUGACGAGUGGCGAACGGGUGAGUAAUGCAUCGGAACGUGCCCGGUCGUGGGGGAUAACGCAGCGAAAGCUGCGCUAAUACCGCAUACGAUCUGAGGAUGAAAGCGGGGGACCGUAAGGCCUCGCGCGAUCGGAGCGGCCGAUGUCAGAUUAGGUAGUUGGUGGGGUAAAGGCCUACCAAGCCGACGAUCUGUAGCUGGUCUGAGAGGACGACCAGCCACACUGGGACUGAGACACGGCCCAGACUCCUACGGGAGGCAGCAGUGGGGAAUUUUGGACAAUGGGCGCAAGCCUGAUCCAGCAAUGCCGCGUGCAGGAAGAAGGCCUUCGGGUUGUAAACUGCUUUUGUACGGAGCGAAAAGGCUCUCUCUAAUACAGGGGGCUCAUGACGGUACCGUAAGAAUAAGCACCGGCUAACUACGUGCCAGCCGCCGCGGUAA